UGGCUCAGAUUGAACGCUGGCGGCAUGCCUUACACAUGCAAGUCGAACGGCAGCACGGGAGCAAUCCUGGUGGCGAGUGGCGAACGGGUGAGUAAUAUAUCGGAACGUGCCCAGUCGUGGGGGAUAACGUAGCGAAAGCUACGCUAAUACCGCAUACGAUCUAUGGAUGAAAGCGGGGGAUCGCAAGACCUCGCGCGAUUGGAGCGGCCGAUAUCAGAUUAGGUAGUUGGUGAGGUAAAGGCUCACCAAGCCGACGAUCUGUAGCUGGUCUGAGAGGAUGAUCAGCCACACUGGGACUGAGACACGGCCCAGACUCCUACGGGAGGCAGCAGUGGGGAAUAUUGGACAAUGGGCGAAAGCCUGAUCCAGCAAUGCCGCGUGAGUGAUGAAGGCCUUAGGGUUGUAAAGCUCUUUUACCCGGGAUGAUAAUGACAGUACCGGGAGAAUAAGCUCCGGCUAACUCCGUG
This 467-nucleotide ribosomal RNA is filed under the name uncultured bacterium. RNAcentral describes it as "bacterial SSU rRNA". It matches the Rfam family "Bacterial small subunit ribosomal RNA", at positions 20 to 507 of the family's 1533-position model. The record is from RNAcentral.